This 876-nucleotide ribosomal RNA is filed under the name Triticum aestivum (bread wheat). RNAcentral's name for it is "partial small subunit ribosomal RNA". The record is from RNAcentral. Lineage: Eukaryota; Viridiplantae; Streptophyta; Magnoliopsida; Poales; Poaceae.
AUGGCACGCAUAAACUUUGGAGUUAUUACCCUGAUCCCCAAAAUAGUUGGGGCGACGGAUGUUAGGCAAUUUCGGCCUAUCACGGUUAUCAAUGUUCUCGAGCACAUUUUCUCCAACGUAUGUGCGACCCAUCUAGCCCCGGUGGCUGAGCGACUGGACCACCCCCUCCAGACGGCAUUCUUGGAGGGCCGACGGAUUCAUGACGAGAUCCUGGCUCUCCAUGAGAUUGUCCAUGAGGUGAGGACGCGCGGGCAUAAUUGCGUCUUUCUCGAGCUGGAUUUCCAGAAAGCCUAUGAUAGGCUGGACUGGAACUUCUUGCGGCUAGUCCUACAGCAUCGGGGCUUUGAGGACAGAUGGUGCAACUGGAUUAUGUAGUUGGUAUGGUCUGGAAAGAAGGCGAUUAAUAUUAAUGGCGAGGUGGGACCAUUCUUUACGUCCUUGGCAGGAGUGAAGCAAGGGGACCCGAUCUCCCCUCUUCUAUUCAACCUCGCCGUUGAUGUGCUAGCAGGAAUCCUGGAUAAAGCUAAGAUGGCGGAACACCUAUCGAGGGUAGUUGGCCACCUAAUCCCGGGAGAAGGCAUCACCCACCUCCAAUAUGCCGAUGAUACCAUGUUCAUGGUGGAGGGAUCAGACCUGGACAUUGUGAAUCUUAAGUUCCUACUCCUCUGCUUUGAGGCUAUGUCAGUACUAAAGAUCAACUUCGACAAGAGCGAGGUCAUCAUCCUAGGAUUCCCCGCGGAGGAACAACAAUGGAUUGCGGACAACGUAAACUGCAGAUUAGCUUCAUUCCCCACUACAUACUUGGGAAUGCCGAUGACCGACUCGAAGAUUCUGAUGAGUGCAUUUGACCCACUGGUGGGACGUGUGGCAUCUUAG